AACUUUUAGCAAUGGAUCUCUUGGCUCUCGCAUCGAUGAAGAACGCAGCGAAAUGCGAUAAGUAAUGUGAAUUGCAGAAUUCAGUGACUCAUCGAAUCUUUGAACGCACCUUGCGCUCCUUGGUAUUCCGAGGAGCAUGCCUGUUUGAGUGUCAUUCAAUUCUCAACCUUUAUUAGCUUUUGCUGAUACUGGCUUGGAUGGGUGGGUGCUGGCUCCUUUGUCAGCUGCCCUUAAAUGCGUUAGCUGGUGCCCCGUGGCGACGUGUCUAUUGGCGUGAUAAUUAUCUACGCUGCGGAUGGUCUGCUAUAGCACAGCUUCUAACCGUCUGUCCAUGCGGACAAUACAAUGACAAUUUGACCUCAAAUCAGGUCGGACUACCUGCUGAACUUAAGAAAAUCAAUAAGGGGAGGCU
RNAcentral lists this unclassified non-coding RNA (412 nucleotides) under uncultured Agaricomycetes. RNAcentral describes it as "sequence contains ITS2". The stretch from base 1 to 154 matches the Rfam family "5.8S ribosomal RNA". The record is from RNAcentral. Lineage: Eukaryota; Fungi; Basidiomycota; Agaricomycetes.